GUGCUCGUUUCGGCAGCACAUAUACUAAAAUUGGAACGAUACAGAGAAGAUUAGCAUGGCCCCUGUGCAAGGAUGACAUGCAAAUUUGUGAAGCAUUCCAUAUUUAG
RNAcentral lists this small nuclear RNA (107 nucleotides) under Peromyscus maniculatus bairdii (prairie deer mouse). Lineage: Eukaryota; Metazoa; Chordata; Mammalia; Rodentia; Cricetidae. The record is from RNAcentral.